UGGGGAAUUUUGGACAAUGGGGGAAACCCUGAUCCAGCCAUCCCGCGUGUGCGAUGAAGGCCUUCGGGUUGUAAAGCACUUUUGGCAGGAAAGAAACGUCAUGGGUUAAUACCCCGUGAAACUGACGGUACCUGCAGAAUAAGCACCGGCUAACUACGUGCCAGCAGCCGCGGUAAUACGUAGGGUGCAAGCGUUAAUCGGAAUUACUGGGCGUAAAGCGUGCGCAGGCGGUUCGGAAAGAAAGAUGUGAAAUCCCAGAGCUCAACUUUGGAACUGCAUUUUCAACUACCGGGCUAGAGUGUGUCAGAGGGAGGUGGAAUUCCGCGUGUAGCAGUGAAAUGCGUAGAUAUGCGGAGGAACACCGAUGGCGAAGGCAGCCUCCUGGGAUAACACUGACGCUCAUGCACGAAAGCGUGGGGAGCAAACAGG
This 429-nucleotide ribosomal RNA is filed under the name Acidobacteriota bacterium. Its description in RNAcentral is "Acidobacteria bacterium partial 16S ribosomal RNA". It matches the Rfam family "Bacterial small subunit ribosomal RNA", at positions 355 to 776 of the family's 1533-position model. The record is from RNAcentral. Lineage: Bacteria; Pseudomonadati; Acidobacteriota.